This 943-nucleotide long non-coding RNA is filed under the name Durio zibethinus. RNAcentral's name for it is "long non-coding RNA (DZIB_LNC000917)". Lineage: Eukaryota; Viridiplantae; Streptophyta; Magnoliopsida; Malvales; Malvaceae. The record is from RNAcentral.
UCGACAAUCAGCUUCAAUUCCUAGCUAGCCCAUUAUUCCCUGAAGCCAUUCAUUAGCCAAAUUCUCUACCAAAUCUCUUUACCAAGCAAGCCACUAGCCGAAACACAGAAACCCAACAACAAUUCCAGAUUCAUCAAUAGAGCAAAACAACACAACCGAUUCCAGCUACCAAAAUCCACUCUCAGCAGAAAUAAUUCCACCACUGGUAUCACAACAACCAUAUAAGCUAAGACCACCAGAAUCAGCAUUGCCAUAGUUGCAACAUAGCAAGCCAUUAUUACAACUGGAACACAUGACAACUAAAAAGAGUACUAAUCACCAAAAUCUCAACAUCAAAGGGAAAAGUUGGAUCCAAGAGAACCAAUCCCAAAUGCAAAAAAACUCGAGAAACCGUACACCACCAUUUAUUGCAGUAGCCAAGACCAAUUAAGUAGCCUCCAAACUGAUUCUGCCACACCUUCAACAGCUGGGUCUUGCGCCUUUUUCACUACCAAUAUCAGCUGUUCACUAUCAAUAAGCCACAAAAACAGGCAAAAAUCAGAAACAAGAAAAACAUAAAAAAAAAAAAUUUUUGUUUUGGGUUUUGGUUUAACCCACUUCCAAGAGGUUUUAGGUCACCAAAUAUAGUGAGGAAUAGCCAAUAGCAAGGAGAACAAUAUACCUUGGAGCGAUUGCCCUAAGAGCGGCAGAAGAGAAGAUUUAAGAGUUUGAAGUCGUAGCAUUCAAGACCUGAUCUACGGAAUUCAAGACGUUUUCUUGGGAAAUCAAUGGCAACACGUGAGGGAAGAGGCCAAGGUGAGCUUUAGGGUGAGAUUUGAAACGAUUUGGUGGACGACGGUGAUAACAUACGACAAAACACGGUGACCAGCGGUGGCGACCAUCGCUAGUUUUUGAGUUUUUGUCACUCGUAAAGAGAGAAAAGAGAAAGCAUCCUUUAGACAAA